AGCAAUGCAGACAAUUAAAUAUGUUGUGGGUGAUGGUGCUGUUGGCAAAACAUGUCUCCUGAUAUCCUACACGACAAACAAAUUUCCAUCGGAAUAACGUACUGUUUUUGACAACUAUGCAGUCACAGUUAUGAUUGGUAGAGAACCAUACACUCUUGGAUUUUUGAUACUGCAGGGCAAAGGAUUAUGACAGAUUAUGACCGCUGAGUUAUCCACAAACAGAUGUAUUUCUAGUCUGUUUUUCAGUGGUCUCUCCAUCUUCAUUUGAAAAUGUGAAAAAAAGUGGGUGCCUAACUGUCCCAAAGACUCCUUUCUUGCUUGUUGGGACCCAAACUGAUCUCAGAGAUGACCCCUCUACUAUUGAGAAACUUGCCAAGAACAAACAGAAGCCUAUCACUCCAGAGACUGCUAAAAAGCUGACCCAUGACCUGAAGGCCAUCAGGUAUGUGGAGUGUUCUACACUCACACAGAAAGGCCUAAAGAAUGUAUUUGACGAUACAAUAUUGGCUGCCCUGGAGCCUCCAGGAUCGAAGAAGAGCCGCAGGUGUGUGCU
This 553-nucleotide long non-coding RNA is filed under the name Homo sapiens (human). Its description in RNAcentral is "non-protein coding lnc-NKX2-5-8:1". Lineage: Eukaryota; Metazoa; Chordata; Mammalia; Primates; Hominidae. The record is from RNAcentral.